RNAcentral lists this ribosomal RNA (1070 nucleotides) under Nipponaphis distychii. RNAcentral describes it as "partial large subunit ribosomal RNA". Lineage: Eukaryota; Metazoa; Arthropoda; Insecta; Hemiptera; Hormaphididae. The record is from RNAcentral.
UAUUUAAAUAAUUUUAAUUAAUUUAUUUUUUUUUAAUAAUAUUUUUUAUAAAAGUAAUUUAUUUGUGUAGGGUUUUAGUAUUUAGUAAAAAUUAAUUAUUAGUUUUAUAGUUUAAUAGUAUUGUGAAAGAAAUUAUUUAUAUUAAUGAAAGAAUUGUUAUUAGUACCUUUUGUAUCAGGGUUAAUUAAAAUUUUUAAUUUAUUUUAAUUUCUCAAAAUUUAUAGAGUUAAUUUUAUUAUUAAGUUAUUGUAUUAAAAAUAUUUAGAAAAUAAUUUUAGUUUUGAUAUUUAAUUCGUUAUAUUAUAUUUAGUUAUUUAAGAUUUAAAUUUAAUUUAAGAUUUUAAAAGUUAAGUUGAUUUUUUUUUAUUUAUAUUUUAAAUUUAUAUUAUUUUAGGGAUAAGCUUGAAAUUUUUAUAUAACAAUUAUUUAACUUAAUAAUUUAUAGGAAUAGAAAUUUUUAUUUAAAGUUUGUAAAAAUUUAUUAUUAAUUUUUAUUUAAUUUAUUAUAAUUUGUUUAUUUAUAGUAUUAAAUUUUAUAAUUUAAUUUUUUAUUUAUAGUAAUAAUGAUUAAAUUAGUAUAAUAUUGAUUUAUAUAUUAUGAAUUCAGCAAAAUUUAUUUUUAUCUGUUUAACAAAAACAUUGUAUUAAGUUUUAUUUAAUAUAGGAUCUGCUCAAUGAUUUAUUAAAUAGCUGCAGUAUUUUGACUGUGCAAAGGUAGCAUAGUAAUUAGUCUUUUAAUUGGGGACUUGUAUGAAAGAUUUGAUAAGAAAUAGGCUUUAUUAUUUAUAUAAUUAGAACUUUAUUUUUAAGUAAAAAAGCUUAAAUAUUUUAAAGGGACGAUAAGACCCUAUAAAACUUUAUAUUUAAUAUUCUUUAUUUUUUUUUGGAUUUAUGAUAUAAAUUUAAAUAUUAUUAAUUAUUUAAUUGGGGUGAUAAAAAAAAUUUUUAAACUUUUUUUAAAAUUUAACAUUAUUUAGUGAUAAUUUGAAUUAGAAUUUUUAAUUAAAGGAAAAAGUUACUUUAGGGAUAACAGCGUAAUUGAUUUUUUAAGUUCAAAUUUAAAAAUUAGU